RNAcentral lists this ribosomal RNA (1251 nucleotides) under Triticum aestivum (bread wheat). RNAcentral's name for it is "partial small subunit ribosomal RNA". The record is from RNAcentral. Lineage: Eukaryota; Viridiplantae; Streptophyta; Magnoliopsida; Poales; Poaceae.
AUGGUUUUGCCCUUCCGUCCUGUUUCCAUCCAGUUAGUGUCGUUUGACCGUGUGUUGACCGUCUAUGGACUUUUCGUUGGACUUAUUUGCCCUUGCUUCCUCACUGUCUCACUAGACACUUCCAAAUGGGACCAAUCACUCAGAAAACAUCCCACCACUUUCGUCCGGUUUUUUUCGCUGGUUUUUUCGUCUGCCCUCCCCCUCGCACGCAAAAAAACGCACCCAGCACCGAAACAAAGAAAAACCUACGACUCCGCUCCUCUCGAUCCCCUCGAUCUUCCUGACGCAGCCGUGCCACUGCGAGAUUGCAAAUCAGUCUGGAGAGGACCUUGCGUGAGCUCGCUCCCAUGUCGCUCUCCUCCUAGGGCGACACCGGGGCGCCCCCCAACCCUAGCCGCCACAGACCCCCACCACAACCAAGCCGCCGUCGCCGGCAGCUGUCGCCGGCGGCGGCGAAGGCGGCUCCUCAAAGCAGGGACGCGUCUCCCGUCGAAAUCCAAGUCCAUUCGCGCGAGCUUCUCCGCCCCUCGAUCCAAUCUUCACCUUCGCUCAUGGUGGCCGUCAGCUGGCUUCCCACCGGCGGCCAGCUUGAUCUGCGCGGCACUCGGCUGCUCGCGUGGCCCACCUCCUCCCCAUCGUGGCACUCUGCGCGGCACUCGAUGGCCGCCGUUGGGCCUGCUUGCGGCGCACAGAUCAUAUCGCGUGCGAUGGCUACAUCAUCGCCGGACCUGUCCUUUCGUCCGACCGCGACCCAACCCCAGCGCCCUCCUCCACCGCCCGCUUCCCCCACUCCCGCUUGACUCCACGGGGGGCGCCGAUGGCGAUGCUCUGCCCGGAGUUCCGCGGAUCUGCGUAUGCCAGCCGCGUUUGGCCCUCCGUCCGCUGUGCUCUGCCGGCCCUGGCCCACGCCGUGGUUGCCCUUGGCUCGUCACCAGGCUCCUGUGUGGCUUGCUCUCGCACGUCCAGAUGCACCAUCGCCGGGUUCCCUGUUGCCCCUCAGAUAUGAUAAAUGCAUCCACCCAUCGCAUCCAUUGGCUUGGGUACCUGAUGGAUUUGGUGUGGUGUCUGACCUUCUGCUGCUCUGUCUCCGAGAGAGAUCCCUUCGCUAGCUCCUUGCUAGCGGCAGCAACGGCGACGCUUUUGGCGCCGCUUCCCUUCUUGGAGGCGCUGCUGUGGAGCCCCAGUGCAGCAGUGGAUUUGGCCGAAAGCCCUACGAUGAUGGCGCCCGUGGGUGUCAUUCAACCUUCCUGA